CCAGGGACGCGAGGAGAGGGGACUAAGACAUUAAUUGAGUGGGGUCCACGUCCCGCGCCGGAACCGCCACCAUGGACAGACGCCCACCCGGACCCUCCCUAUUUGUUUUGAGGUGCGUUCGGGAGUCCGCACCUUAGGGGGGGGGGGUUCUGUCACGCCCUGGUCUAAGUAUUUUGUGUUUUCUUCAUGUAUUGGGUCAGGCCAGGGUGUGGCAUAGAGUUUUUGUAUUGUGGUGUGUUUUGUCUUGGGAUUUUGGAAUGUGUGUAUAGUUUGAUUGUAGCUUAGUGGGGUGUUCUAGGAGAGUCUAUGGCUGUCUGAAGUGGUUCUCAAUCAGAGGCAGGUGUUUACCGUUGUCUCUGAUUGGGAACCAUAUUUAGGCAGCCAUAUUCUUUGGUUGUAUUGUGGGUGAUUGUCCUGUGUGUCUUGAUGUCCUGGUUAGAGGUUAGUAGACACUUGUAUAGGCUGUUUUCGGUUUUCGUUUUAUAGUGUUAGUGUUUUGUUGUGUGCUACGUUUGUUUAUUAAAGAUGAAUCGCAACAGACACGCUGCAGUUUGGUCCGACUCUCCUUCACCAUUAGAAAGCCGUUACAACCUCAGAACAAUGGACAUGUGCCAUAUAGAAGGGAAUCACACCUGACCAAUGGGGCUCCAGGUCAGGGUGCUGGUGAGACUUCACCCCUCCUCUGCAGGGUUAACGAUGAGACUAAGGAAGCGACUCCUGGUGCACAGAGUUCAGGACCUCUUCAGAUGAAUGGAGGUCCUCCCAUGUCUAACAGAGCUGCAGAGGAGACCACUGCUCUAUUGGACAAACAGGCCUUGGACAAGGACCAAGUCACCAAACCUCCUGAGUUAAUAGACAAAGGACCUAAUGACAUGGAGUCAAGUAGAGGAGAACUGUAACAAAUGGUGGACGUUUGUAUAACAAAAGAAAACCUAAUAAGACAUUAUAAGACACAGUAAUAUAUGAUAUACAGUACUUAUUAUAAGAUACAGUAAUAUAUGAUAUACCGUACUUAUGAUAAGAUACAGUAAUUUAUGAUAUACAGUACUCAUUAUAAGAUACAGUAAUAUAUGAUAUACAGUACUUAUUAUAAGAUACAGUACUUAUGAUAAGAUACAGUAAUAUAUGAGAAACAGUACUUAUGAUAAGAUACACAUAUGUGACUAGCUUCAUCAUAAUCAGUCAUGUCAACCCCAAGACACAUUCUGACCAGUGUGUUUCACUGCACAUUGAUUUUCAGAAACAUCAACAGUUUAAGUUAAUUCUCUAUGUGACAGGUAUAAUGUGGAUAGGUUAGGAAACGUGUUUAAGUGAAAUCAGUAUGAAACAUAAACCUCUUUAGUAGAGACAUUUCCAAGAUCAUAAGGUCUCAAUGUCUUGUGGACAUGUCAAAUAGCUAAACAUUGACCGGGCGUUAUUAUUUACACUAUGUAUACACAAAUAUAUGUAGACACCCCUUCAAAUUAGUGGAUAUGUCUAUUUCAGCGACACCCGUUGCUGACAGGUGUAUAAAAUCGAGCACGCAUCCAUGCAAUAUCCAUAGACAAACAUUGACAGUAGAAUGGCCCGUACUGAAGAGCUCAGUGACUUUCAAUGUGGCACCGUCAUAGGAUGCCACCUUUCCAACCAGUCAGUUCAUAACAUUUCUGCCCUGCUAGAGCUGCCCCGGUCAACUGUAAGGGCUGUUAUUGUGGAGCAUCAUUGGCUCAGCCAUGAAGGAGUAGGCCACACAACCACAACAGAACGUGACCGUCGUGUGGUGAAGCGUGUCAGUCGCAAUCGUCCGUCCUCGGUUGCAACACACACUACAGAGUUCCAAACUGCGUCUGGAAGCAUCGUCAGCACAACUGUUUGUCACGAGCUUCAUGAACUGGGUUUCCAUGACCGAACAGUCGCACACAAGCCUCAGAUCAGCAUGCGCAAUGCCAAGCGUUGGCUGGAGUGGUGUAAAGCUCGACGCCAUUGGACUCUGGAGCAGUGGAAACACAUUCUUGCUUCACCAUCUGUUAGUCCAUCAGACGAAUCUGGGUUUGUCGGAUACCAGGAGAACGCUACCUGCCCCAAUGCAUAGUGCUAACUGUAAAGUUGGGUGGAGGAGGAAUAAUGGUCUAGGGCUGUUUUUCAUGGUUCGGGCCCCUUAGUUCCAGUGCAGGGAAAUCUUAACUCUACAGCAUACAAUGACAUUCUAGACGAAUCUGUGCUUCCAACUUUGUGGCAACAGUUUGGGGAAGGCCCUUUCCUGUUCCAGCAUGACAAUGCCCCCGUGCACAAAGCAAGGUCCAUACAGAAAUUAUUUGUUUAGAUCAGUGUGGAAGAACUUGACUGGCCUGCACCCCAUCAAACACCUUUGGGAUGAAUUGGAACGCCGACUGCGAGCCAGGCCUAAUCACCCAACACCAGUGCCCGACCUCACUAAUGCACUUGUGGCUGAAUGGAAGCAAGUCCGUGAAGGGAUAGUUCACCCAAAAUUACAAAACUACAUAUUGUUGUUCUUACCCUGUAUGGACAAAAUAAGAAAGCAAACCAAUGCUUUUGUUUAUUUACUUGGUUACGGAAAUGCAAACGUUUUAGCACUUGUGGCACAAAUCCAAGUCAAUGACCCUGUUAAAAGCAUUUUUCUGAAAUCAUCCUAGUGUCAACAUUUGAUUGUGUAGCUCAAUUAAGUCAUUUUAAGAUGAUUUGGACAUGAAGCACAAAAACAAUGCAAGAAAUGGGAUAUUGGCUUCACAUUACUUGACAUUGGAUUUGAUGUAAAAAGUUUGCAUUUGAAGACAGUGGUCAGGUAAACAAAACCAAAGCAUGGAUUACUGUCUGAGCUUGUCCAUAGACUGUUUACGGGGUAAAGAAAGCACAUGAUAUUUUGUAAUUAGGGUGAACUAUCCCUUUAACAGGAGUGCGGAACUCCUACGGGAAGUCGUUACAGUAUAGCCCUCUGACACAUUUUCCUAAGGAGACUUUCAUGAGGUCAUACCACUUAGCUUCAUAAUCACAAGGCAUUAUGCUGCCUGCUUAAAAUGCUGAAGGAAUAUAGACAUGUAUCAGCCAUUAGUGCCAAUGUCAUGCAAUAUGAUGUAUAAUGCAUAGAUUACAAGGUGUUAUAAAUACACUUAUCACACAUUAUGAAGAGGGUAUUCAUAGGACGUGUUACCCACAAUGUUUAUCACAUUGAGAGUAUCUGUCAGGUCAAAUGACUUAGGCGAAUGACAUACCCACAUACAGUACACUGACACCUUAUAACCUUAGUGUCAGAAAAGGUCCAUUUUCUUCACAUCUGAAUUAGGGUUGUUUACUUCCUAGUAAUGUAUUUGAUAUGUCAUGUCUGUGGGUUGGUCCCAUACAUGUAUGAAUGGCUUUCAGUUGAUGCAUUUUAUGGUUAGUUACAUCACUCUUUGCAUUUUGACUGUUGGAUUGAUAUGAUCUGCUCAUACAUUGCCAUACAAGUGAGUGAGUUAAGACUAUUGUUUAAUGAACGACUCAGGUCUGAUGGAUACAGUUGACCCUCAUACUCUUGUAUUAUUUGUAACAAACUUUCUGCAUGUAUUUGUAUGAGGAAACCUCUACAUUAUUGUCAUAUCUACUUUUUAUCCUGCAAGUUUAGGAGGACUAUUCUGCAGAGUUUUGUGUUUUAUAUAAUAGAAAUGUAGAACUUAAGAUGACUUCUUAGUAUUAUAAUAUAUGUUUCAUUCAUUUCAUCAUUAAAACAUUCCUUUCCA
Long non-coding RNA from Oncorhynchus nerka (sockeye salmon), 3713 nucleotides. RefSeq lists it as uncharacterized. Lineage: Eukaryota; Metazoa; Chordata; Actinopteri; Salmoniformes; Salmonidae. The record is from RefSeq and is a predicted model, not a curated record. The transcript is spliced from 4 exons.